Molecule: ribosomal RNA, 497 nt
Filed under: uncultured bacterium
Lineage: Bacteria
Description: partial 16S ribosomal RNA
Rfam family: Bacterial small subunit ribosomal RNA
Source: RNAcentral
GAUGAACGCUGGCGGCGUGCCUAAUACAUGCAAGUCGAGCGAACGGACGAGAAGCUUGCUUCUCUGAUGUUAGCGGCGGACGGGUGAGUAACACGUGGAUAACCUACCUAUAAGACUAGGAUAACUUCGGGAAACCGGAGCUAAUACCGGAUAAUAUUUUGAACCGCAUGGUUCAAAAGUGAAAGACGGUCUUGCUGUCACUUAUAGAUGGAUCCGCGCUGCAUUAGCUAGUUGGUAAGGUAACGGCUUACCAAGGCAACGAUGCAUAGCCGACCUGAGAGGGUGAUCGGCCACACUGGAACUGAGACACGGUCCAGACUCCUACGGGAGGCAGCAGUAGGGAAUCUUCCGCAAUGGGCGAAAGCCUGACGGAGCAACGCCGCGUGAGUGAUGAAGGUCUUCGGAUCGUAAAACUCCGUUAUUAGGGAAGAACAUAUGUGUAAGUAACUGUGCACAUCUUGACGGUACCUAAUCAGAAAGCCACGGCUAACUACGUG